This 133-nucleotide microRNA precursor is filed under the name Prunus persica (peach). Its description in RNAcentral is "miR6267c stem-loop (ppe-MIR6267c)". The record is from miRBase by way of RNAcentral. Lineage: Eukaryota; Viridiplantae; Streptophyta; Magnoliopsida; Rosales; Rosaceae.
GCUAUUUGUAACACAUUUACUGACCAGAUUGCUGAUCACCUCUCUAAUAUAGAUGGGCCCCACAUAUACUGGUGAGGCCACCUCUAUUAGAGAGAUGGUCAGCAAUGUGGUUAGUAAAUGUGUUCCAAAUAGC